RNAcentral lists this ribosomal RNA (253 nucleotides) under uncultured bacterium. RNAcentral's name for it is "partial 16S ribosomal RNA". It matches the Rfam family "Bacterial small subunit ribosomal RNA", at positions 524 to 776 of the family's 1533-position model. The record is from RNAcentral.
UACGAAGGGGGCUAGCGUUGUUCGGAUUUACUGGGCGUAAAGCGCACGUAGGCGGAUCGUUAAGUCGGGGGUGAAAUCCUGGAGCUCAACUCCAGAACUGCCUUCGAUGCUGGCGAUCUUGAGUCCGGAAGAGGUGAGUGGAACUCCUAGUGUAGAGGUGGAAUUCGUAGAUAUUAGGAAGAACACCAGUGGCGAAGGCGGCUCACUGGUCCGGUACUGACGCUGAGGUGCGAAAGCGUGGGGAGCGAACAGG